This 482-nucleotide ribosomal RNA is filed under the name uncultured bacterium. RNAcentral describes it as "partial 16S ribosomal RNA". It matches the Rfam family "Bacterial small subunit ribosomal RNA", at positions 30 to 507 of the family's 1533-position model. The record is from RNAcentral.
AUUGAACGCUGGCGGCAUGCUUUACACAUGCAAGUCGAACGGUAACAGGCCGCAAGGUGCUGACGAGUGGCGAACGGGUGAGUAAUGCAUCGGAACGUGCCCAGUCGUGGGGGAUAACUACUCGAAAGAGUAGCUAAUACUGCAUACGAUCUAUGGAUGAAAGCGGGGGACCGUAAGGCCUCGCGCGAUUGGAGCGGCCGAUGUCAGAUUAGGUAGUUGGUGGGGUAAAGGCUCACCAAGCCAACGAUCUGUAGCUGGUCUGAGAGGACGACCAGCCACACUGGGACUGAGACACGGCCCAGACUCCUACGGGAGGCAGCAGUGGGGAAUUUUGGACAAUGGGCGCAAGCCUGAUCCAGCAAUGCCGCGUGCAGGAAGAAGGCCUUCGGGUUGUAAGCUGCUUUUGUACGGAACGAAACGGCUCUGGUUAAUACCCGGGGCUAAUGACGGUACCGUAAGAAUAAGCACCGGCUAACUACGUG